RNAcentral lists this ribosomal RNA (459 nucleotides) under uncultured bacterium. RNAcentral's name for it is "partial 16S ribosomal RNA". It matches the Rfam family "Bacterial small subunit ribosomal RNA", at positions 338 to 795 of the family's 1533-position model. The record is from RNAcentral.
CCUACGGGAGGCAGCAGUGAGGAAUAUUGGUCAAUGGGCGGGAGCCUGAACCAGCCAAGCCGCGUGAGGGAAGAAGGUACUGCGUAUCGUAAACCUCUUUUGUCAGGGAACAAAGGCGGGGACUAGUCCCCGGAUGAGGGUACCUUAAGAAAAAGCAUCGGCUAACUCCGUGCCAGCAGCCGCGGUAAUACGGAGGAUGCGAGCGUUGUCCGGAUUUAUUGGGUUUAAAGGGUGCUCAGGGGGCCUGUUAAGUCAGCGGUAAAAGGCCGGGGCUCAACCCCGGAGAGCAGUUGAAACUGGCGGGCUGGAGUUGGAGAGAGGUACGCGGAAUGCGCGGUGUAGCGGUGAAAUGCUUAGAUAUAGCGAAGAACCCCGAUUGCGAAGGCAGCGUACGGGCUCCACACUGACGCUGAGGCACGAAAGCGUGGGUAUCGAACAGGAUUAGAUACCCUUGUAGUC